This 526-nucleotide ribosomal RNA is filed under the name Salmonella enterica. RNAcentral describes it as "bacterial SSU rRNA". It matches the Rfam family "Bacterial small subunit ribosomal RNA", at positions 882 to 1408 of the family's 1533-position model. The record is from RNAcentral. Lineage: Bacteria; Pseudomonadati; Pseudomonadota; Gammaproteobacteria; Enterobacterales; Enterobacteriaceae.
ACGGCCGCAAGGUUAAAACUCAAAUGAAUUGACGGGGGCCCGCACAAGCGGUGGAGCAUGUGGUUUAAUUCGAUGCAACGCGAAGAACCUUACCUGGUCUUGACAUCCACAGAACUUUCCAGAGAUGGAUUGGUGCCUUCGGGAACUGUGAGACAGGUGCUGCAUGGCUGUCGUCAGCUCGUGUUGUGAAAUGUUGGGUUAAGUCCCGCAACGAGCGCAACCCUUAUCCUUUGUUGCCAGCGAUUAGGUCGGGAACUCAAAGGAGACUGCCAGUGAUAAACUGGAGGAAGGUGGGGAUGACGUCAAGUCAUCAUGGCCCUUACGACCAGGGCUACACACGUGCUACAAUGGCGCAUACAAAGAGAAGCGACCUCGCGAGAGCAAGCGGACCUCAUAAAGUGCGUCGUAGUCCGGAUUGGAGUCUGCAACUCGACUCCAUGAAGUCGGAAUCGCUAGUAAUCGUGGAUCAGAAUGCCACGGUGAAUACGUUCCCGGGCCUUGUACACACCGCCCGUCACACCAUGGG